GCUUCCAUAGCUCAGCAGGUAGAGCACUUCCAUGGUAAGGAAGAGGUCAGCGGUUCGAGCCCGCUUGGAAGCUUAAAUG
RNAcentral lists this transfer RNA (79 nucleotides) under Bacillus subtilis. RNAcentral describes it as "TRNA(THR) from Bacillus subtilis (PDB 2FK6, chain R)". It matches the Rfam family "tRNA". Rfam says of the family: Transfer RNA (tRNA) molecules are approximately 80 nucleotides in length. Their secondary structure includes four short double-helical elements and three loops (D, anti-codon, and T loops). Lineage: Bacteria; Bacillati; Bacillota; Bacilli; Caryophanales; Bacillaceae. The record is from RNAcentral.